RNAcentral lists this ribosomal RNA (579 nucleotides) under uncultured bacterium. Its description in RNAcentral is "partial 16S ribosomal RNA". It matches the Rfam family "Bacterial small subunit ribosomal RNA", at positions 355 to 926 of the family's 1533-position model. The record is from RNAcentral.
UGGGGAAUUUUGGACAAUGGGCGAAAGCCUGAUCCAGCAAUGCCGCGUGUGUGAAGAAGGCCUUCGGGUUGUAAAGCACUUUUGUCCGGAAAGAAAUCCUUGGCUCUAAUACAGUCGGGGGAUGACGGUACCGGAAGAAUAAGCACCGGCUAACUACGUGCCAGCAGCCGCGGUAAUACGUAGGGUGCAAGCGUUAAUCGGAAUUACUGGGCGUAAAGCGUGCGCAGGCGGUUUGCUAAGACCGAUGUGAAAUCCCCGGGCUCAACCUGGGAACUGCAUUGGUGACUGGCAGGCUAGAGUAUGGCAGAGGGGGGUAGAAUUCCACGUGUAGCAGUGAAAUGCGUAGAGAUGUGGAGGAAUACCGAUGGCGAAGGCAGCCCCCUGGGCCAAUACUGACGCUCAUGCACGAAAGCGUGGGGAGCAAACAGGAUUAGAUACCCUGGUAGUCCACGCCCUAAAACGAUGUCAACUAGUUGUUGGGGAUUCAUUUCCUUAGUAACGUAGCUAACGCGUGAAGUUGACCGCCUGGGGAGUACGGUCGCAAGAUUAAAACUUAAAGGAAUUGACGGGGUCAUAGCU